GAAGGUAGAGCUCAUUGGUAGAGUCCAUGCUUGGCAGGCAAGAGGUCCUGGGUCCAAUUCCCAGUACCUCCA
This 72-nucleotide transfer RNA is filed under the name Camelus bactrianus (Bactrian camel). It matches the Rfam family "tRNA". From Rfam's summary of the family: Transfer RNA (tRNA) molecules are approximately 80 nucleotides in length. Their secondary structure includes four short double-helical elements and three loops (D, anti-codon, and T loops). Further hydrogen bonds mediate the characteristic L-shaped molecular structure. tRNAs have two regions of fundamental functional importance: the anti-codon, which is responsible for specific mRNA codon recognition, and the 3' end, to which the tRNAs corresponding amino acid is attached (by aminoacyl-tRNA synthetases). tRNAs cope with the degeneracy of the genetic code in two manners: having more than one tRNA (with a specific anti-codon) for a particular amino acid; and 'wobble' base-pairing, i.e. permitting non-standard base-pairing at the 3rd anti-codon position. The record is from Rfam by way of RNAcentral. Lineage: Eukaryota; Metazoa; Chordata; Mammalia; Artiodactyla; Camelidae. RNAcentral also lists the same sequence under 1 other name.